UGCCACAGAUGACUCUUAGCCUGAGGA
RNAcentral lists this non-coding RNA (27 nucleotides) under Rattus norvegicus (Norway rat). Lineage: Eukaryota; Metazoa; Chordata; Mammalia; Rodentia; Muridae. The record is from RNAcentral.